This 440-nucleotide ribosomal RNA is filed under the name uncultured bacterium. RNAcentral's name for it is "partial 16S ribosomal RNA". It matches the Rfam family "Bacterial small subunit ribosomal RNA", at positions 338 to 795 of the family's 1533-position model. The record is from RNAcentral.
CCUACGGGGGGCUGCAGUGGGGGAUAUUGCACAAUGGGGGGAACCCUGAUGCAGCGACGCCGCGUGGGUGAAGGAGCGUUUCGGCGCGUAAAGCCCUAUCGGCAGGGAAGAAAAUGACGGUACCUGACUAAGAAGCCCCGGCUAACUACGGGCCAGCAGCCGCGGUAAUACGUAGGGGGCAAGCGUUAUCCGGAUUUACUGGGUGGAAAGGGAGCGCAGACGGCUGUGCAAGUCUGGAGUGAAAGGCGGGGGCCCAACCCCCGGACUGCUCUGGAAACUGUAAAGCUGGAGUGCAGGAGAGGUAAGCGGAAUUCCUAGUGUAGCGGUGAAAUGCGUAGAUAUUAGGAGGAACACCAGUGGCGAAGGCGGCUUACUGGACUGCAACUGACGUUGAGGCUCGAAAGCGUGGGGAGCAAACAGGAUUAGAUACCCUAGUAGUC